GAUGAACGCUGGCGGCGUGCCUAAUACAUGCAAGUCGAGCGAACAGAUGAGGAGCUUGCUCCUCUGACGUUAGCGGCGGACGGGUGAGUAACACGUGGAUAACCUACCUAUAAGACUGGGAUAACUUCGGGAAACCGGAGCUAAUACCGGAUAAUAUAUUGAACCGCAUGGUUCAAUAGUGAAAGACGGUUUUGCUGUCCCUUAUAGAUGGAUCCGCGCCGCAUUAGCUAGUUGGUAAGGUAACGGCUUACCAAGGCAACGAUGCGUAGCCGACCUGAGAGGGUGAUCAGCCACACUGGAACUGAGACACGGUCCAGACUCCUACGGGAGGCAGCAGUAGGGAAUCUUCCGCAAUGGGCGAAAGCCUGACGGAGCAACGCCGCGUGAGUGAUGAAGGUCUUCGGAUCGUAAAACUCUGUUAUUAGGGAAGAAAAAAUGUGUAAGUAACUAUGCACGUCUUGACGGUACCUAAUCAGAAAGCCACGGCUAACUACGUG
Molecule: ribosomal RNA, 497 nt
Filed under: uncultured bacterium
Lineage: Bacteria
Description: partial 16S ribosomal RNA
Rfam family: Bacterial small subunit ribosomal RNA
Source: RNAcentral